CGUACUGGCAUUGUUGGUUUCUCCCUUCUGACGAACCAUGAUGUCAUUUAUUUGGUGUUGUGGGGAAUCAGGACUGUUACUUUGAAAAAAUUAGAGUGUUUAAAGCAGGCUCACGCUUGAAUACAUUAGCAUGGAAUAAUGAAAUAGGACGUUUGAUUCUAUUUUGUUGGUUUCUAGGAUCGACGUAAUGAUUAAUAGGGAUAGUUGGGGGCAUUAGUAUUCAAUUGUCAGAGGUGAAAUUCUUGGAUUUAUUGAAGACUAACUACUGCGAAAGCAUUUGCCAAGGAUGUUUUCAUUAAUCAAGAACAAAAGUUAGGGGAUCGAAGACGAUCAGAUACCGUCGUAGUCUUAACCAUAAACUAUGCCGACUAGGGAUCGGAUGAUGUUAAUUUUUUAAUGACUCAUUCGGCGCCUUACG
RNAcentral lists this ribosomal RNA (418 nucleotides) under uncultured Glomeromycotina. Its description in RNAcentral is "SSU rRNA". It matches the Rfam family "Eukaryotic small subunit ribosomal RNA", at positions 676 to 1092 of the family's 1831-position model. Lineage: Eukaryota; Fungi; Glomeromycota. The record is from RNAcentral.